RNAcentral lists this ribosomal RNA (395 nucleotides) under uncultured bacterium. Its description in RNAcentral is "partial 16S ribosomal RNA". It matches the Rfam family "Bacterial small subunit ribosomal RNA", at positions 355 to 768 of the family's 1533-position model. The record is from RNAcentral.
UGGGGAAUAUUGGACAAUGGGGGCAACCCUGAUCCAGCAAUGCCGCGUGUGUGAAGAAGGUCUUCGGAUUGUAAAGCACUUUCGACGGGGACGAUGAUGACGGUACCCGUAGAAGAAGCCCCGGCUAACUUCGUGCCAGCAGCCGCGGUAAUACGAAGGGGGCUAGCGUUGCUCGGAAUGACUGGGCGUAAAGGCGUGUAGGCGGUUUACACAGUCAGAUGUGAAAUCCCCGGGCUUAACCUGGGAGCUGCAUUUGAUACGUGUAGACUAGAGUGUGAGAGAGGGUUGUGGAAUUCCCAGUGUAGAGGUGAAAUUCGUAGAUAUUGGGAAGAACACCGGUGGCGAAGGCGGCAACCUGGCUCAUGACUGACGCUGAGGCGCGAAAGCGUGGGGAG